CAGAAAGGGUCAACCGAAGGCCUCGGAGAAGUCCAUUUUUUUCCAGAAAAUAUCUUCAACUUGCGGUACUAUCCCUAUUAUGGGAAACUGAGACAUGUCAACUACUCUUCCCCGCUGGUGGCUGUGCGCUUUCCUAGUGUCCAGUAUGACACCCAACUUCACGUUCAAUGCAAACUAAAUGGCAAAGGCAUCAUCAACGAUUCACCAACUGAUCGUUUCCUGGGUAGUGUGUCUUUCACUUUAGUAGUGGGUGCGUAGGGUGGCAGUAGACCUAGAGAAAUUGAAAUUAAACUUCUCAGAGUAUGUUAUAAUAAAUGAAAUAGCACACUGGGUGUUGUCGUUACCCAUUAGCCCUCAUGAUUAUGCCUCCGGCAGCCACUGUGCUAUUCGUGUCAGAGCUGUGUUACUACACUACUUUUUCAAACAAGGAAUUUCCCAGUAAGACUCAAAAGACUGAGAUUCAUAGAUCACAUUCAGUACCCAGCCGCUAGAGACUGACCUGCCUGGAUUUCAUUAUAGGAUCAAAUGAAAAUAUGAAAAGAUGUCCAAAUACAGUAAGUAGGUUGCAAUUAUAGCUAUUGAGGCAUAAUCACUCUACAGUGAGACGUAGGCAAAACAAUUCUCUAGAUCUGUGUAGACUGUAGAAUUAACAUCUAUUAAACCUUUUUGAUCAGUUCUUUUGCUAAGUCAGAUGUGUAUAUAACACAAAUUAAAACACACAAAAUAUUUUUUUAUGAUUCUUCUCUGUUAAUCAGUCUCCUUUAAAUUCCCCCUUUGGACGAAGAAAAAGGCCGGAAACUGCUUAACAUUAUCCUUUUGCUUGCUCAUUUAAUUGAAUAAUAAUCAGAUGUGGUUUAGAAUUAAUAAUUGAUUGUACAUUUUUGGACUAAAUUUCUCUUUCCUUUUUUUUUUUUUUUGGAUGUGCAACUAAAUUUUGAUUCCAGAGGCAAAUGUAUUUUACUGAAAUGUGGGACAGAAAUCCCAUUUCAUCAUUUUCACAGAGUUUCAUAAUGAAGUACUAGUUGAUCUUUCUUUUUCUAAGCAUGCAACCAACACUUCUUUAAAACGAAAUCGAGUAUGUCACAUAAUUCAUCUCUGAGUGAAACUAUCUGCUCAGCUGCCUGUAAGGAGGAUUUCAACAGUAUUAUUUAUUAAUUGUAUUUGAAUAUAUUGACAUGGUACAAAGAGUUACAAAGUGUAAUAGUGAGAUGGAAAUUGGUAACUGCACAUCUUUGUUAUUCAGUAAAUGCAACGAAAUAGCCACUGGCUGACAAAGAUUUGCCAGCUUAUGUGUUAAACGCACUCAUGUUCUAGCAUAAACAAUAAAGAUGGAUGAGAAUUAACAGAAUCAGACCUUUCUGCUCAGUUUUCCAUUCUGUUUAAAAGUAACAAAUCAGUUGUGAAAUGCGUCAUAUUGUCUCUAAUGAUAAAUUGCUUGAGAUGGUCACUUAGAAUAAAUGACAAUGUAAAAAAAACAUCACUACAUUCAAACUUCAAUGCAGUUAUGUGCAUUCAGUAAUAGGCAUAAGUAUUAUGCAGGUCAAAGUGAGAUGCUUCUAGUGUUCCAGUAACAGAGACAUAAUUUAUGACAACAGUAACUUUUAUAGCAACACUGCUGAUCUAAGUCCAUCAGUUAUAACUGUGAAAUCAUGUGAACUGUGUAAAACUAGUUGCUUAACACCUCAGGUCUAACGUGAAAUCAACAUUGUACUGAGAUUCUCAAAAAGAGGUCAGAGCAAGAAAACAAAGAGAGAGGAAGACUACUGUACAAUACAAAAAAAAAACAUUUUAUUGAAUUUUUUUCCUUUUUGAACCAACAUUCAAAGACAUCUUACUAAAAGGCACACUAUAGUACAACAAUGAUAUUCUGUGUUUAACUGUGUUUGUUUUAACAGCUAAAUCCUUUGGGGGUUUUUAUGAAAAAUAAAAUGGUUGACAAAUGAACUGAUUUGGACACAUUAGUAUUUUCACUAUGCAGAGCAGAAAAUAAGACUGAAAAUACACAGGAACUUGUAGCUUUGGUCUUAGAAAUGGUGUAUUUUGUACAUUGUAUGCAUGUGUCCAGAGAAAUGACAAAC
Sinocyclocheilus rhinocerous is the source of this 2078-nucleotide long non-coding RNA. RefSeq lists it as uncharacterized. The transcript is spliced from 2 exons. The record is from RefSeq and is a predicted model, not a curated record. Lineage: Eukaryota; Metazoa; Chordata; Actinopteri; Cypriniformes; Cyprinidae.